Molecule: ribosomal RNA, 460 nt
Filed under: uncultured bacterium
Lineage: Bacteria
Description: bacterial SSU rRNA
Rfam family: Bacterial small subunit ribosomal RNA
Source: RNAcentral
CCUACGGGGGGCAGCAGUAAGGAAUAUUGGACAAUGGGCGCAAGCCUGAUCCAGCCAUGCCGCGUGAAGGAUGAAGGCCCUCUGGGUUGUAAACUUCUUUUAUGUGGGAAUAAACCCCCGGUUUCUACCGGGGCUGAAUGUACCAUAAGAAUAAGGAUCGGCUAACUUCGUGCCAGCAGCCGCGGUAAGACGAACCGUACAAACGUUAUUCGGAAUUACUGGGCUUAAAGGGUGCGUAGGCGGCGGUGCAAGUUGGGUGUGAAAUCCCUCGGCUCAACCGAGGAACUGCGCUCAAAACUGCAUUGCUUGAGGGAGAUAGAGGUGAGUGGAACUUAGGGUGGAGCGGUGAAAUGCGUUGAUAUCCUAAGGAACACCAGUGGCGAAAGCGACUCACUGGGUCUCUUCUGACGCUGAGGCACGAAAGCUAGGGUAGCGAACGGGAUUAGAUACCCCUGUANUC